This 443-nucleotide ribosomal RNA is filed under the name uncultured bacterium. Its description in RNAcentral is "partial 16S ribosomal RNA". It matches the Rfam family "Bacterial small subunit ribosomal RNA", at positions 338 to 795 of the family's 1533-position model. The record is from RNAcentral.
CCUACGGGCGGCAGCAGUGGGGGAUAUUGCACAAUGGGGGGAACCCUGAUGCAGCGACGCCGCGUGAAGGAAGAAGGCUUUCGGGUUGUAAACUUCUUUUGUCAGGGACGAAGCAAGUGCCGGUACCUGACGAUUAAGCCACGGCUAACGACGUGCCAGCAGCCGCGGUAAUACGUAGGUGGCAAGCGUUAUCCGGAUUUACUGGGUGUAAAGGGCGUGUAGGCGGGACUGCAAGUCAGAUGUGAAAACCACGGGCUCAACCUGUGGCCUGCAUUUGAAACUGUAGUUCUUGAGUACUGGAGAGGCAGACGGAAUUCCUAGUGUAGCGGUGAAAUGCGUAGAUAGUAGGAGGAACACCAGUGGCGAAGGCGGUCUGCUGGACAGCAACUGACGCUGAGGCGCGAAAGCGUGGGGAGCAAACAGGAUUAGAUACCCUAGUAGUC